Molecule: long non-coding RNA, 245 nt
Organism: Acanthopagrus latus (yellowfin seabream)
Lineage: Eukaryota; Metazoa; Chordata; Actinopteri; Spariformes; Sparidae
Exons: 2
Source: RefSeq, a predicted model, not a curated record
UUAAGUCGUUUCCCUCGGCCUCGAUUUGAGAAAGAGCACCAGGUUGAGGCGAUGCUGCACUGAGGCUGGACAAUGGACUGAGAAGGGUGGAACUUCCUGGCACCAGACAAGCAGGUCAAAGGGUUUUUAUCUGGCAGUUGCAUCGAAGAGGGGAAAGCGUGGGCUACGGCUGUAGUGGCGUCGUGGCUGGACACCGCUGACAGACAGGCCAAAAUAUGGCUUUCUUCUGCUGCUGAUUAAAGAAG